Molecule: ribosomal RNA, 464 nt
Filed under: uncultured bacterium
Lineage: Bacteria
Description: partial 16S ribosomal RNA
Rfam family: Bacterial small subunit ribosomal RNA
Source: RNAcentral
GACGAACGCUGGCGGCGUGCUUAACACAUGCAAGUCGAACGGAAAGGCCCUGCUUGCAGGGUACUCGAGUGGCGAACGGGUGAGUAACACGUGGGUGAUCUGCCCUGCACUUCGGGAUAAGCCUGGGAAACUGGGUCUAAUACCGGAUUUGACCUUCCAUGUAGUGUGGGGGGUGGAAAGAUUUAUCGGUGUGGGAUGAGCCCGCGGCCUAUCAGCUUGUUGGUGGGGUAAUGGCCUACCAAGGCGUCGACGGGUAGCCGGCCUGAGAGGGUGGACGGCCACAUUGGGACUGAGAUACGGCCCAGACUCCUACGGGAGGCAGCAGUGGGGAAUAUUGCACAAUGGGCGGAAGCCUUAUGCAGCGACGCCGCGUGGGGGAUGACGGCCUUCGGGUUGUAAACCUCUUUCGACAGGGACGAAGCUUCGGUGACGGUACCUGUAUAAGAAGCACCGGCUAACUACGU